Oncorhynchus masou masou (cherry salmon) is the source of this 737-nucleotide long non-coding RNA. RefSeq lists it as uncharacterized. The transcript is spliced from 6 exons. The record is from RefSeq and is a predicted model, not a curated record. NCBI's taxonomy places the organism in Eukaryota, Metazoa, Chordata, Actinopteri, Salmoniformes, Salmonidae.
CGUCUCGACAUGAUUGAAGAUAGCAAUGGAGCUCCGCAAUGUCUUUUUUAAGAUGUCGGGUGGGGACGCGGAAAGCUACUGCGUGAAAGCCCUUCAUUCCAAAACCUGAUGCCCAGGAAAGACCAGGAAAAAGUGUUGGCUUAAGGCUCGGUGGGUGACCAGUAACAAUGAUUCAACCAAGCUGUUCCAGGCCUGGAGUGGCACGCUGGAACUUCCAGAGGCUUGUAACCCUGAAGCAGUGUGAUGUGAUCCAGAUCUGACAUCCCUAUUAGCUCAACCACAGUCCUCACAGCUGAAGUCGUCUGCCCCUGCACCUGCUACACCAGCCACGACAGGUGAUACAGAUCUGCCACCCCCAGCAGUUCAGCUGCAGUCACAGCAGUCCUCUGCUGUGGUAUUUAAUCUACCGGCUGCACCAGUUCCUACUACACUGGCCAUGAAGGGAGAUACUAUUGAGGAGACCCAGAUGGAUACAGAUCUGCCAUGCACUCCACCAGUGCCUGACAGACUCAUUUCUGAGAAAGCAGAGAUGGGUGGCUGACAAGGAAAAAUAAAACACAACACACACUAUCUCUCUGUCAUACACACUCACACACAUUAUCCCCAGUGUAAAUUCGUUGUAUUUACUUGUUUAUUUUAUGUUUGCUCAAUUUGAUUUUAGGAUUUGAGAUAUCUAUUCCUACAUAUCCAUUCUCAAUAUCUACAUAAUUACUCUAAAUAUCUAUCAAAUUAAAGUG